Molecule: long non-coding RNA, 854 nt
Organism: Notothenia coriiceps (black rockcod)
Lineage: Eukaryota; Metazoa; Chordata; Actinopteri; Perciformes; Nototheniidae
Exons: 2
Source: RefSeq, a predicted model, not a curated record
AUAUUUAAGCGUGUGUUUGUGUCUCUGCUUCCAGGCAACGAGCUGCUGUCCCUGGAGAACAAGAAGGGGAGGAACAAAAGUGCAGCGGUGACGUUUGUCAAUAAAGACUGGGCCUGCAGUGAGAAAGCCAAAGCAGAGAAGCUGAAGAAGAGAUGGAUCCACAAGCAGCAGAUCCCCUGCUGACGACAUCAACAUAACAUCCACCAGAGGAGCCUUUACGGUGAAUUGAAUGCACGGAAACCUGGAGGAGGACGUGAGGAAAGGAGGUGGACGGACUGAUAUUGACUUAUUAUGGGAUUUGCAACAACUCAAAUAAAGAUUCAAGAUGCAUCUGUUCGAAAUGAUGUAACAUCAAAUAUCACAAUAUUUCUGUUCGUACAUCUCUGUCCAUCGUGUGAAUAUAUUGUGGGGUUGACUAUUGUUUUUGAUUAAUAAACAGUUUGUAACCUUACUUUACUUUAAUGCAGCCGAUACGACCAGGAAAAUAAUCUUAAUCUGUUCCGAUAUCACAAGUCUAACAGGAUAUCUAAAUAAUGUCAUUCAUCGUCUAGCCCUAACUCACGGGAAAAGAAACGGGAACAUUUGCAGCAGAUCAUUUUUUGGUAUUUUUCAAAACGUUCCUCUUGUUUCUGAACUGAGACGUUUCUACAUCAGUUCAUUAAAGAGCAGGACGUGUGGAUUCACAGGUAGACUUCCCACCUGUAGAUCACAUGACCUGCUCUUCGUUUUCUGUUCCAUUAAAAGCCUGUUAUUUCUGUAAAUAUGUUUGAAAGACUGAGAUGUGAUUAAAAGCUCAAAGAAAAAUGAGUUGACUUGUUUUUAUGCGAAGGUCUACAAUAAAACUGUUUCUCUAA